CCCUCAAUUCAAGCGAGUCUUACAGCAAGGCUCAGUAUCUAGAAAGUCAAGAAAGAGAACAUUUUAAUCUGCUUUUUCUUCUUCCCUGAGCUUAAUUAUUCAGGUCUCACAGCCUUUCUAACUUGCAUGACAGUUGAAUUUAUUCAAGAGG
This is a long non-coding RNA of Rhodamnia argentea, 151 nucleotides long. RefSeq lists it as uncharacterized. The record is from RefSeq and is a predicted model, not a curated record. Lineage: Eukaryota; Viridiplantae; Streptophyta; Magnoliopsida; Myrtales; Myrtaceae. The transcript is spliced from 3 exons.